RNAcentral lists this ribosomal RNA (253 nucleotides) under uncultured bacterium. RNAcentral describes it as "partial 16S ribosomal RNA". It matches the Rfam family "Bacterial small subunit ribosomal RNA", at positions 524 to 776 of the family's 1533-position model. The record is from RNAcentral.
GACAGAGGCCUCAAGCGUUAGGCGGAAUCACUGGGCUUAAAGCGUGUGUAGGCGGAUCGUUCAGUACCUUGUGAAAUCCCACGGCUCACCCGUGGAACUGCUGGGUAUACUGGCGGUCUUGGGCCAACUAGGGGCAGCUGGAACAAGCGGUGGAGCGGUGAAAUGCGUAGAUAUCGCUUGGAACGCCGAAGGUGAAAACAGGCUGCUGGGGUGGUGCCGACGCUGAGACACGAAAGCCAGGGGAGCGAACGGG